AGAUUCCUACGGGAGGCAGCAGUGGGGAAUAUUGCACAAUGGGCGCAAGCCUGAUGCAGCCGUGCCGCGUGUAUGAAGAAGGCCUUCGGGUUGUAAAGUACUUUCAGCGGGGAGGAAGGGAGUAAAGUUAAUACCUUUGCUCAUUGACGUUACCUGCAGAAGAAGCACCGGCUAACUCCGUGCCAGCAGCCGCGGUAAUACGGAGGGUGCAAGCGUUAAUCGGAAUUACUGGGCGUAAAGCGCACGCAGGCGGUUUGUUAAGUCAGAUGUGAAAUCCCCGGGCUCAACCUGGGAACCGCAUCUGAUACUGGCAAGCUUGAGUCUCGUAGAGGGGGGUAGAAUUCCAGGUGUAGCGGUGAAAUGCGUAGAGAUCUGGAGGAAUACCGGUGGCGAAGGCGGCCCCCUGGACGAAGACUGACGCUCAGGUGCGAAAGCGUGGGGAGCGAACAGGAUUAGAUACCCUGGUAGUC
Molecule: ribosomal RNA, 470 nt
Filed under: uncultured Escherichia sp.
Lineage: Bacteria; Pseudomonadati; Pseudomonadota; Gammaproteobacteria; Enterobacterales; Enterobacteriaceae
Description: bacterial SSU rRNA
Rfam family: Bacterial small subunit ribosomal RNA
Source: RNAcentral